NNNNNNNNNNNNNNNNNNNNNNNNNNNNNNNNNNNNNNNNNNNNNNNNCCAAAGCCCCCCUUUUUAGGGUGCUGGUGCCAAAAGGCCCUGAGAGUAGAGAACGUGGAAUGUUAGGGCUAGAAGGGCCCUUAGAACAGGGGUGGCAGAGCUGGGAGGGAACUUAGAGCAGGGAGGAAUCUUAGAAUGGGGGAAGUCAGAGCUAGGAAGGAACUGUGAAUGGGGAAUGUCAAGGCUGGGAGGGAGCUUAGACCAAGAAUGUCAUUGCUGGGAGGGAGCUUAGAACAGGGAAGAAGCUUAGAACAGAAAGCAUCAGAGCUGAGAGGGAGCUUAGAACAGGGAAGACUCUUAGACCAUGGCAUAUCCGAGCUGGGAGGAGCCUUAGAAAAAGGAAUGUCAAGGCUGGAAGGGAGCUUAGAACAGGGAAGACUCUUAGACCAUGGCAUAUCCGAGCUGGGAGGAGCCUUAGAAAAAGGAAUGUCAAGGCUGGAAGGGAGCUUAGAACAGGGAAGACUCUUAGACCAUGGCAUAUCCGAGCUGGGAGGAGCCUUAGAAAAAGGAAUGUCAAGGCUGGAAGGGAGCUUAGAACAGGGAAGAAGCUUAGAACAGAAAGCAUCAGAGCUGAGAGGGAGCUUAGAACAGGGAAGACUCUUAGACCAUGGCAUAUCCGAGCUGGGAGGAGCCUUAGAAAAAGGAAUGUCAAGGCUGGAAGGGAGCUUAGAACAGGGAAGAAGCUUAGAACAGAAAGCAUCAGAGCUGAGAGGGAGCUUAGAACAGGGAAGACUCUUAGACCAUGGCAUAUCCGAGCUGGGAGGAGCCUUAGAAAAAGAAAUGUCAAGGCUGGAAGGGAGCUUAGAACAGGGAAGAAGCUUAGAACAGAAAGCAUCAGAGCUGAGAGGGAGCUUAGAACAGGGAAGACUCUUAGACCAUGGCAUAUCCGAGCUGGGAGGAGCCUUAGAAAAAGGAAUGUCAAGGCUGGAAGGGAGCUUAGAACAGAAAGCAUCAGAGCUGAGAGGGAGCUUAGAACAGGGAAGACUCUUAGACCAUGGCAUAUCCAAGCUGAGAAGAGCCUUAGGAAAAGGAAUGUCAAGGCUGGAAGGGAGCUUAGAACAGGGAAGAAGCUUAGAACAGAAAGCAUCAGAGCUGAGAGGGAGCUUAGAACAGGGAAGACUCUUAGACCAUGGCAUAUCCAAGCUGGGAAGAGCCUUAGAAAAAGGAAUGUCAAGGCUGGGAGGGAGUCUAGUACAGGGAAGACUCAGACCAUGGCAUCUCAGAGCUGGGAGGAGCCUUAGAACAAGGAAUGUUAAGGCUGGAAGGGAGCUUAGAACAGGGAAGACUCUUGGGCCAUGGCAUAUCAGAGCUGGGAGGAGCCUUAGAACAAGGAAUAUUAAGGCUGGGAGGGAGCUUAGAACAGGGAAGAACCUUAGAACAGAAAGUAUCAGAGCUGGGAGGAAAUUGAGGACAGCAAAUGUCGGAGCUCGGAGGGGCCUUAGAAAAUCAACCCUGGAUUAUCAGAGUGGAAGGAGCUCUCCCCAUUUAAUUAGUGGGCCCUUCUGUGGCCCCUACAUCCACCAGGCCUCUGGGCUGGGGCUACAAAGACAGAGAAAAACCAUUUCCACUCCCCAAGCUUCCAUACUAUCUGGGCAGAUAACAUGGACACAAAAAAUAUGCAAAUAAUUCCAAGGCAGAUAACAAUAACAAUAAUAAUAAUACCUGGGCAGUUUGGUGACACAUAGACAGGGUGCUGGACCUGGUAUCUUAGGAAGACCUGAAUUCUGAUGUGGUUUCAGACACUUUACGAGCUGUGUAACCUGAGCAAUUCAUUUAUUUGCCUCAGUUUCCUCAGCUGUAAAGUGGGGAUAAUAAAAGGCCGGUGUUGUUGUGAGGAUCAAUUGUUGCACAGGGUUUUGUGCUCUGUCAAUGUGCGCUCUAACAGUAUCUAAUAACACUUACUAUGUGCCAGGCACCGUGCGAAGCACUUUACAAUGAUUAUUUCAUCUGACCUUUGCACAACCCUGUGGGGUGCGGCCAUUGCAGUCACGUCUGACUCUUUGGGACCCCAUUUGGAGUUUUCUUGGCAGAGAUCCUGGACUGGUUUGCCAUUUCCUCCUCCAGUUCAUUUUACAGAUGAGGAAACUGAGGCCAACAGGAUUAGAUGAUUGCCCAGAUUCACACAGCUAGUUGU
This 2182-nucleotide long non-coding RNA is filed under the name Monodelphis domestica (gray short-tailed opossum). RNAcentral's name for it is "lncRNA (ENSMODG00000051525.1)". Lineage: Eukaryota; Metazoa; Chordata; Mammalia; Didelphimorphia; Didelphidae. The record is from RNAcentral.